This 111-nucleotide non-coding RNA is filed under the name Pseudooceanicola marinus. RNAcentral describes it as "TPP sequence". It matches the Rfam family "TPP riboswitch aptamer (THI element)". Rfam says of the family: Vitamin B(1) in its active form thiamin pyrophosphate (TPP) is an essential coenzyme that is synthesised by coupling of pyrimidine and thiazole moieties in bacteria. The previously detected thiamin-regulatory element, thi box was extended, resulting in a new, highly conserved RNA secondary structure, the THI element, which is widely distributed in eubacteria and also occurs in some archaea. Analysis of operon structures identified a large number of new candidate thiamin-regulated genes, mostly transporters, in various prokaryotic organisms. Lineage: Bacteria; Pseudomonadati; Pseudomonadota; Alphaproteobacteria; Rhodobacterales; Paracoccaceae. The record is from Rfam by way of RNAcentral.
GCGGCUACCUCGGGGUGUCCUGGCCGAUGUGCGCAGGACUGAGAUGCGUGAUGCGAACCCGUUGAACCUGAUCCGGUUAAUACCGGCGGAGGGAUGGUCGGACAGCCGGGA